GGGUUGUGCUCAGUAGCAUGCAGCCUGAAGAAAUGGCUCCUGCUUACACCAGACCCAACAGGAAUCUGGUUAUUUGACAAGGGGAACACAAAACUCCGUGGCCUUUCCUCUGAACAAGUACCCUACAACG
RNAcentral lists this small nucleolar RNA (130 nucleotides) under Bos taurus (domestic cattle). RNAcentral describes it as "Small nucleolar RNA SNORA11 (ENSBTAG00000054244.1)". It matches the Rfam family "Small nucleolar RNA SNORA11". Rfam says of the family: U107 (SNORA11) is a member of the H/ACA class of snoRNAs that guide the sites of modification of uridines to pseudouridines. This snoRNA was identified by RT-PCR from blood cells and its expression confirmed by Northern blot analysis. There is no predicted target for this guide snRNA. Lineage: Eukaryota; Metazoa; Chordata; Mammalia; Artiodactyla; Bovidae. The record is from Rfam by way of RNAcentral.